Molecule: ribosomal RNA, 292 nt
Filed under: uncultured bacterium
Lineage: Bacteria
Description: partial 16S ribosomal RNA
Rfam family: Bacterial small subunit ribosomal RNA
Source: RNAcentral
GUGCCAGCAGCCGCGGUAAUACGGAGGAUCCAAGCGUUAUCCGGAAUCAUUGGGUUUAAAGGGUCCGUAGGCGGGCUUGUAAGUCAGUGGUGAAAGUCUGUGGCUCAACCAUAGAAUUGCCAUUGAUACUGCUAGUCUUGAAUUAUUGUGAAGUGGUUAGAAUAUGUAGUGUAGCGGUGAAAUGCUUAGAUAUUACAUGGAAUACCAAUUGCGAAGGCAGAUCACUAACAAUAUAUUGACGCUGAGGGACGAAAGCGUGGGUAGCGAACAGGAUUAGAUACCCGAGUAGUCC